RNAcentral lists this long non-coding RNA (1169 nucleotides) under Monodelphis domestica (gray short-tailed opossum). RNAcentral describes it as "lncRNA (ENSMODG00000050425.1)". The record is from RNAcentral. Lineage: Eukaryota; Metazoa; Chordata; Mammalia; Didelphimorphia; Didelphidae.
CAGCUAGAAAAUGUCUGAGACCAAAUUUGAACUUAGGACUUCCCAUUUCUAGACCUGACACUCAAUCCCCUGAGCCAAGUAGCUACCCCCAUCUCUAUCUUUUUUUUUCUAGCUACAAAAAGUCAACAGGACAAUUACAGAAUGCUUUUUUGUUGAUACUCAUCUCUCUGUUCUUGACUAAAUGGUUAGUUGUUGUUGUUGUUGUUCAGUCAUUUCAGAUGUGUUCAACUCUUUGUGACCUCAUUUGAGGUUUUCUUGGCAAAGAGACUCAGGUAAAUUGUUAUUUCCUUCUCCAACUUGUUUUACAGGAAACUGAGGCAAACAGGGUUAAGUGACUUGCCUAGGAAUAUAUAUAUAGUCAUGUAAUGACUAAGUGUCUGAUAUAUGAACUGAGGAAGAUGCAUCUUCUGACCCCAGAACUGGAAUUCUAUCCACUGCACCACCUAGCUGACUCGAUAUAUUACCUUGCUUUUUAUUGUUGCUUUAUUUGCUGAUUGUUUGAGUUCAGGGAAACUACAUUUGAUUUUAUUUGCAGUCAAAAUGUGUCCAGCCUAAUUUCAUGCAUCUGUGAAGACCAUGAGGUCUGAAUUGAUGCUGGAGACUUAUUUACAGUCAUGAAAAUAGCUUUCUGGGUACUUACGUCGUAUGAUAGUCUUAGAAAUAAGCUAAGAACCCCUUCUGGUUUUCUAAUUCUUUAAUGUUCAUCUUCACCUCCAGAGCUUUCCUUCUUGACCCAACUUCCGACAUUUCUAGGUUGAAGAGUUCCCAGAAGAGGAAACUGGGGCCUAGAGACAUGAAGAGAGUUGUGCAAGGUUACACAGAGAGUCAGUAGCAGAGACAGAAGUUGAAACCAGAUCUCCUCAGAUUUUAGGCAAUAAGGUGUUAUCUAGAAGAAUCACUGAAUUUGAGAGAUGGAAGGAACUAUAAUGACCAUGUAGUCCAAUAUAUCUUUGAGAGGAAUCUCUAUGAUAGCAUACUCAACAUCCUCUGAAGACCUCCACUGAAGGGAAACUCAACACCUCUCAAGGUCGUCCAUUCCACUUUUGGACAAUAGAAACUAUUAGGACAUUUUACCUGAUUUCAAACCUAAAUUUUCCUCUCUAUAAAAUACAUAAUAUAUAAACCUAAUACUUGUCUGUGGGACCAAAUAAAACAACUCUAAUCCCUAC